UGCUAGAGAGACGCUGGCGGCGUGGAUUAGGCAUGCAAGUCGAACGGUAUCAUCCUUUCGGGGGUGAGAGAGUGGCGAACUGGUGAGUAACACGUAGGUUAUCUACCCUCAAGACGGGACAACCCAGGGAAACUUGGGCUAAUACCGGAUGUGAGCAACUUUUAGUUGUUUGAAAGGUGGCGUAAGCUGUCGCUUGGGGAUGAGCCUGCGUCCUAUUAGUUAGUUGGUGAGGUAACGGCUCACCUAGGCAAUGAUAGGUAGGCGGCCUUAACGGGUGGUCGCCCACACUGGGAUUGAGAUACGGCCCAGACUCCUACGGGAGGCAGCAGUCGAGAAUAGUCUACAAUGGUCGGAAGACUGAUAGUGCGACGCCGCGUGAACGAUGAAUCCCUUCGGGGUGUAAAGUUCUUUUAUAUGUGAGCAGUGCUUCUUAUAUUAACAGUAUGGGGAGAGAGAUAUUAGCAUAUGAAUAAGCAACGGCUAACUCCGUG
RNAcentral lists this ribosomal RNA (491 nucleotides) under uncultured bacterium. RNAcentral describes it as "bacterial SSU rRNA". It matches the Rfam family "Bacterial small subunit ribosomal RNA", at positions 28 to 507 of the family's 1533-position model. The record is from RNAcentral.